This 301-nucleotide ribosomal RNA is filed under the name uncultured bacterium. Its description in RNAcentral is "partial 16S ribosomal RNA". It matches the Rfam family "Bacterial small subunit ribosomal RNA", at positions 509 to 807 of the family's 1533-position model. The record is from RNAcentral.
CAGCCGCCGCGGGAAUACGAAGGGGGCUAGCGUUGCUCGGAAUGACUGGGCGUAAAGGGCGCAUAGGCGGUUUUGACAGUCAGAUGUGAAAUUCCUGGGCUUAACCUGGGGGCUGCAUUUGAGACGUCAAGACUAGAGUGUGAGAGAGGGUUGUGGAAUUCCCAAUGUAGAGGUGAAAUUCGUAGAUAUUGGGAAGAACACCGGUGGCGAAGGCGGCAACCUGGCUCAUUACUGACGCUGAGGCGCGAAAGCGUGGGGAGCAAACAGGAUUAGAUACCCGAGUAGUCCCUGUCUCUUAUAC